GGAGACAGUCACCGCGAGAGGGCGCGAGCCGAACCUGUUUACGGAAGUCCCGCCCUCACUUCCGGCGGCGGAGGAUUGGGAGGGACUGAAGGCCGCUUCCGGCUGUGGUAGUGUAGGGGCUUCGGCACGUGUGUCAUUCGCCGGGAUUUUUAUAUUAACCCUGCUUCUGGUGAACUUGUCUGGCCGGCAUUCCUUUAAGGCCUAAGGAUGAAGGCGAGAAGAAAUAAAAAACAGAUCCCAAGCUUUCGCAAGUUAAUAAAAACUAGUAAAGUCAAACUUGAAAACAAGCUAAAAAAUAAGCAGUUUAAACAGCAAAGCUCUCUCAAGAAGUACCGAAAAGAACAGAGGAAACUAAGGCAAGCUGUGAAAGAUGCUGUGUCUAAGAAACCCAUUCCAUUGGAGAACCCAAAGGAAAAGCGACCAGGUAAAAGGAUUGAGAGGGAAGAAGAGGAAGAAGAAGAAGCCCUUCCUUUAGAUAUGAUGGAUGAAGAUGACUUACAGUUAAUGAAGGAUUUAGGACAAAGAGCAUCUUUUCUAACAAGAGAUCUUUCUUCUAGUGAGCCUGUUCAUGCGAAGAAACGGAAGCAUGAACGCAUUAUAGAUAAAUAUGAAAAAAUACCAAGAACUCUGCAAACUGCACCAGAGAAGGAACUGAUUCAUUUACUUCCUAUCAAAGAUAAAAGUGGUAUAAUCCCACAGACUAGGGAGAAGCCAGUUACUGAUAGUAACAAAGAUGAAGAGGAUCAAGAAGAAGAGAGGGAACUUGAGGAAGAGAUCAUUGAAGAUCCUAUUCGAGAGCUGACCAUAGAAGAACAUUUGAUUGAGAGAAAGAAGAAAUUACAAGAGAAGAAGAUGCAUAUUGCAGCCUUGGCAUCUGCCAUAUUAUCAGAUCCAGAAAGUAAUAUUAAAAAAUUGAAAGAAUUACGUUCUAUGUUGAUGGAACAAGAUCCUGAUGUGGCUGUUACUGUUCGAAAGCUGGUAAUUGUUUCUCUGAUGGAGUUAUUUAAAGAUAUUACUCCUUCAUAUAAAAUCCGGCCCCUCACAGAAGCAGAAAAAUCUACUAAGACCCGAAAAGAAACCCAGAAGUUAAGAGAAUUUGAAGAAGGCCUGGUUAGCCAAUACAAGUUUUAUUUGGAAAAUCUGGAACAAAUGGUUAAAGAUUGGAAGCAGAGGAAGCUGAAAAAAAGUAAUGUAGUUUCCUUAAAGGCAUACAAAGGACUGGCAGAAGUCGCUGUGAAGAGCUUGUGUGAGCUGUUGGUGGCACUACCUCAUUUUAACUUUCACAACAACAUCAUCGUAUUGAUUGUCCCUCUCAUGAAUGACAUGUCAAAAUCGAUAUCUGAAAUGUGUUGUGAAGCUGUGAAGAAACUCUUCAAGCAAGAUAAAUUAGGCCAAGCUUCUCUUGGUGUAAUUAAAGUGAUUUCUGGUUUUGUGAAGGGCAGAAAUUAUGAAGUUAGGCCAGAGAUGUUAAAAACAUUUUUAUGCCUAAGAAUCAAGGAAGUAGAAGUGAAAAAAGAUACAGAAGACAUUAAUAAACCAAAAAAAUUUAUGACUUUCAAAGAAAAGAGAAAAUCUCUAUCAAGAAUGCAGAGAAAGUGGAAGAAAGCAGAAGAGAAACUAGAGCGAGAGCUUCGAGAGGCAGAAGCUUCAGAGAGUACUGAGAAAAAACUUAAACUGCACACAGAGACUCUGAAUAUUGUGUUUGUAACCUACUUCAGAAUAUUGAAGAAGGCCCAGAGGUCACCUCUCCUGCCAGCAGUUCUAGAAGGUCUUGCCAAGUUUGCUCACCUUAUAAAUGUGGAAUUUUUUGAUGAUCUGUUAGUAGUUCUUCAUACUCUCAUUGAGUCUGGUGACCUAAGCUAUCAAGAAAGUCUUCACUGUGUCCAGACUGCUUUUCAUAUUCUUUCUGGACAAGGUGAUGUUCUGAAUAUUGAUCCAAUGAAAUUCUACACACAUCUCUACAAAACACUGUUCAAAUUACAUGCAGGUGCUACCAAUGAAGGUGUUGAGAUUGUACUCCAGUGCCUUGAUGUCAUGCUAACUAAGCGCAGAAAGCAAGUUUCUCAGCAGCGAGCUCUUGCCUUCAUCAAACGCCUUUGUACCCUUGCUCUUCAUGUUCUUCCAAAUUCAAGUAUUGGCAUUUUAGCAACUACCAGAAUAUUAAUGCAUACUUUCCCCAAAACAGAUCUACUGCUUGACAGUGAAUCUCAGGGAAGUGGAGUUUUCCUUCCUGAACUGGAUGAGCCUGAGUACUGCAAUGCUCAGAACACUGCUCUGUGGGAACUGCAUGCUCUGCGGAGGCAUUAUCAUCCCAUAGUGCAGAGAUUUGCAGCCCACCUGAUCGCUGGAGCACCUUCUGAAGGCUCUGGAGCACUCAAACCAGAGUUGAGUCGAAGAACUGCUGCUGAACUUUUUGAGGCAUAUAGCAUGGCAGAAAUGACAUUCAAUCCUCUUGUUGAAUCUUCAAACCCCAAAAUAAAGGGUAAAGUUUUACAAGGGGAUUCAUUUUUGAAUGAAGAUUUAAAUCAGCUAAUCAAAAGAUACUCCAGUGAAGUUGCUACUGAAUCGCCUCUGGAUUUCACGAAAUAUUUGAAAACAUCACUACACUAGUAAAGGAAUGAAGAAAGCUUCCUAAGAAUGUCUAGGAGGAGGAGGAAGAAUGACCCUUUACGUGGCACAGGGUUCUGCCCCUAUGCUGAAUAUGUCAUUUCAUCAAGGAGAUCAAAAGCCUUUUUUUCUCCCUAGUAUUUGGAAAUUACUUUCUUGAUGAUGCUGCCUUUUAAAAGCUUCAUGUACAUUAUAGUUUUUUUAAAAAAUCUUUGGACUGGAUCUUAACUGAAGUGCAGUUGCUAUAUUAAAAUUAGGGCAUAGAGCACAGAAAAAUCAAGACCAUGAGAAGACAUUUUACCAUUUAGCUACUUUUUAUAACUAAAUACUCUUUAAAUAUUUUUAUUUCAAUACUGUGGAUGGAAAUGAGAAGCAUUCUAAAUUUGAGUUAAUAUAUUUUUAUGAAGAUUUUUGAGAAAAGAAAAAAAUAGCUUGUAUUCAGGUUCAUUGGCUUUUGCUGGAUGAUCCACUUAAAGAAGUUACCUAAUUUGGCCUUUUAAAGAAGGUAUUAGUGUUUAUUAUAGCUACUUUCAAGGAAAGUUUGAAUAUGAUUCUAGUCUCUGAAGUUCUUCAUGUUUUCUGACAUUCCCUGGAGGGUGACUGGAGAAGAAUUGCUCCAGGGUAGAAGCACCAGGCCCGAGACUUUACCAUUCUGUUCUAGGGACAAAGGAUACUCAAUGAGGAGCUUUUUUCCCCUCUUGGAACAGACGAAGUCUCGCUCUUGUUGCCCAGGCUGCAGCGCAACGGCACGAUCUUGGCUCACUGCAACCUCUGCCUCCCGGGUUCAAGUGAUUCUCCUGCCUCAGCCUCCCAAGUAGCUGGGAUUACAGGUGCCUGCCACCACACCCAGCUAAUUUUUGUAUUUUUAGUAGAGAUGGGGUUUCACCAUGUUGGCCAGGCUGGUCUCGAACUCCUGACCUCAGGCAAUCCACCCGCCUUGGCCCCACAAAGUGUUGGGAUUACAGGCAUGAGCCACCGUGCCCAGCAAUUUUUGUACUUUUUGUAAAGACAGGGUUUUGCCAUGUCGGCCAUGCUGGUCUCAAACUCAUGAGCUCAAGUGAUCUGCCCACCUCAGCCUCCCAAACUGCUGGGAUUACAGGUGUGAGCCACUGGCUUGGUCGUUUUUUUUUUUUUUUUUUUUUUUCCAAUUAGAGACAGGGCCUCACUCUGUCAUCCAGGCUGCAGUGCAGUGGCCAAUCAUAGCUCACUGCAGCCUCCAACUCCUGUGCUCAAGUGAUCCUCCUGCCUCAGCCUCCUAAAACUGAGAUUACAGGCAUGAGCCACCAUGUGAGGCCAUUUCCCAGCCUUAAGAGGCACACACUCCCCCUUUGAGGUCCCUGUUUUUCAGGAACUUCACUCAUAAAAUGAGCCAUCAAUGCACAGACAUUUGUUCCAAUAAUUUAUGCUGAGGAAAGGACUGAGGUGAGGAAGGGAGAGGCUUUUACCUGCUGAAUGACAUCCUGUGCAGUGCUGACGCGGGGUGCUUUGAUGACUGUUCGAGGUUGCUCUGGAGAAACAUCAUGCACUUGGACAAAGAAACUCUCCUCCUCUGAGCUCAAGAUCACCUCUUUGUCAUCUUGAACAAUGUUUUUCUCUUCUAGGUUCUGUAUUUAAAAAGAAAAAAAUAUGAGUAAAUAAUAGGUUUAUGCAGAAUAAAGAAAGACAAAUGUAGCAAAAAUCUGA
This is an RNA transcript of Symphalangus syndactylus (siamang), 4290 nucleotides long. It is a transcript of the gene named NOC3 like DNA replication regulator, with no coding region annotated. NCBI's taxonomy places the organism in Eukaryota, Metazoa, Chordata, Mammalia, Primates, Hylobatidae. The record is from RefSeq and is a predicted model, not a curated record.